UAAAAUAAUUCCUGCUUAUUCAUUAAACAACUUUCGAUCAAGAAAAAUGUAUUUUAUUCAUCAUUGCUGAAAGCCCUAGAAAAGUACAUUUUAAAAAUUUUAAAUAUAAUGAAAAUCUAAUCGAUUUUACAGUAUAGCAGUACAUAUUGAAACACUAUUGUAUACAGUCACUAUACAUAACAUGAUUUAAAUGCAAACUUCUCAGCAGUGGUGAUAUUCUCUAACAAUGUUACAAAUCAAACAUAAUACUAGUAUUCAAAAUGCUUAACAAACAUUUUCAACCAAGAAACAAAAAAUUCAUACAUUAACCAGUGUAAACAAUGAUUGUGACAAGGCAGUUUUUACAACAGUCAAACUCCAUAUAAAAAAUGAAAAUAAUUGUUAGAAAAGAAGUGUGAUUCAAAGCAUUAUUAUUUUCAAAUACAAACCAAAUUAUCUGUUAUAUUAUGCAAAUUUAACAUUGUUGAUUUUUUUUUCAAACAAUCUUCAUAUAAAAAAUUAGAAUAAUCAAAUUCAAUUCGUCAAGUCCUUACUAUGUUAAAAUUGUCAACUGUUAGAUUGUCCAAUCUAUGUAAAUAAUACAUUAUUAUUAGAAAAACAUGUAAUAAUACUUCAGUUUUCAGAAAUGCAUAUAAAAUAAAUUUAUAAUAUAUAAAAACUUUUGACAAUAACGUGAAACAAAAAUAAAAACAUGUGUUUUGGCUUGAAUUAAUAAUAGGACAAUGAAGAACUUUUCAUUGUUUCUGAAUUCCCAUUAAUUAAUGUGAAAAGGAUUUCAUAUUUAUAUACUUCUCACUUUGUAUAAGAAAUUUUUACACUUUUUUUUAAUUUUCUUAGGGCUAAUACAUUUAAAAUGUAAAAUGUAACGCUAAUGACUGUUAUUGGUCCUUUAAAUGUCAUGCUUAACAAUGUGCUCCAAAUCGAGCAUGAAUGUAUAUAUAAAGAUGUUAAAACGGUUUAAAAAUUGCAUUAAACGUUUAAAAAAACACAAAAAGGUAUCAAAAUAAAUACAGAUUAACAAAAUAUGAUUUCUUGGCAAAUUAAUACUUUUUUAAUGAUUCAUUCAUUUGAAAGUCAAUAUCACAGCAUUCUUAAAAUAUUGCAUUAAAAAUAUAUAUUUUGAAAAAAACUGUGAAGAACAAAAAAAACUCAACUGAACAACUCCACAUCAAUUAACGUAUAACAUCGAAAACUUCUGUUCUAAUUCGAACCGAAAUCAAACUUACUCUUAACUGUUUUAAGGGGAAAGGUACAUACUUAAAGAAAAUAAUAGAUUUAUUCCUUCGCUUUAGAAGAUUUCCUCAGCUUUAGAAGAUUUCCUCAGCCAAUCCCUUUUAAUACUAUAAAUGCAUAUUUGCAUAUGCUUAUUUAUAUUAUGCAAAUCUAAGCAAAACAAAUAAACCCUAACAUUAUAUAGCUAUUUUUUACUUCGCUAAUACCAUUUAGAAUGAAUUUCUACCCUGAAAAUUACAACAAAAACUAUGCAUGUUCCCUAAAAGCCUUUGGCCUUUUCAAAUAAACUAAGAAAGAAUAACAAAACUUAACAAGUGAUAAUAAAGUUACAUUGUCUUUCAAUGAUAACAUUCUAAAACAUUCUUAUUUUUC
This 1605-nucleotide long non-coding RNA is filed under the name Mytilus galloprovincialis (Mediterranean mussel). Lineage: Eukaryota; Metazoa; Mollusca; Bivalvia; Mytilida; Mytilidae. The record is from RNAcentral.